UGGGGUGUGGCUCAGUGAUAGAGCACUUGCCUAGCACGUGUGAGGCACUGGGUUUGAUUCUCAGCAACACAC
This 72-nucleotide transfer RNA is filed under the name Marmota marmota marmota (Alpine marmot). It matches the Rfam family "tRNA". Rfam says of the family: Transfer RNA (tRNA) molecules are approximately 80 nucleotides in length. Their secondary structure includes four short double-helical elements and three loops (D, anti-codon, and T loops). RNAcentral also lists the same sequence under 1 other name. Lineage: Eukaryota; Metazoa; Chordata; Mammalia; Rodentia; Sciuridae. The record is from Rfam by way of RNAcentral.